This is a transfer RNA of Felis catus (domestic cat), 85 nucleotides long. It matches the Rfam family "tRNA". From Rfam's summary of the family: Transfer RNA (tRNA) molecules are approximately 80 nucleotides in length. Lineage: Eukaryota; Metazoa; Chordata; Mammalia; Carnivora; Felidae. The record is from Rfam.
GCCUGGGUGGCUCAGUUGGUUGAGCGUUUGACUUCACCUCAGGUCAUGAUCUCACGGUUAGUGAGUUUGAGUCCCACAUCAGGCU